This 447-nucleotide ribosomal RNA is filed under the name uncultured bacterium. RNAcentral describes it as "bacterial SSU rRNA". It matches the Rfam family "Bacterial small subunit ribosomal RNA", at positions 355 to 825 of the family's 1533-position model. The record is from RNAcentral.
UGGGGAAUAUUGGGCAAUGGGGGAAACCCUGACCCAGCAACGCCGCGUGAAGGAUGAAGUAUUUCGGUAUGUAAACUUCGAAAGAAUAGGAAGAAUAAAUGACGGUACUAUUUAUAAGGUCCGGCUAACUACGUGCCAGCAGCCGCGGUAAUACGUAGGGACCAAGCGUUGUUCGGAUUUACUGGGCGUAAAGGGCGCGUAGGCGGCAUGACAAGUCACUUGUGAAAUCUCUGGGCUUAACCCAGAACGGCCAAGUGAUACUGUCGCGCUAGAGUGCAGAAGGGGCAAUCGGAAUUCUUGGUGUAGCGGUGAAAUGCGUAGAUAUCAAGAGGAACACCUGUGGCGAAGGCGGCCAGCUGGACCAAUCCUGACACUGAGGCGCGACAGCGUGGGGAGCAAACAGGAUUAGAUACCCAAGUAGUCCCUGAGCGGGCUGGCAAGGCGCAU